This 495-nucleotide ribosomal RNA is filed under the name uncultured bacterium. RNAcentral describes it as "partial 16S ribosomal RNA". It matches the Rfam family "Bacterial small subunit ribosomal RNA", at positions 28 to 507 of the family's 1533-position model. The record is from RNAcentral.
GACGAACGCUGGCGGCGUGCCUAAUACAUGCAAGUAGAACGCUGAAGGAGGAGCUUGCUUCUCUGGAUGAGUUGCGAACGGGUGAGUAACGCGUAGGUAACCUGCCUGGUAGCGGGGGAUAACUAUUGGAAACGAUAGCUAAUACCGCAUAAGAUUGACUAUUGCAUGAUAGUCAGUUAGAAGGUGCAAUUGCAUCACUACCAGAUGGACCUGCGUUGUAUUAGCUAGUUGGUGGGGUAACGGCUCACCAAGGCGACGAUACAUAGCCGACCUGAGAGGGGGAUCCGCCAAACCGGGACUGAGACACGGCCCAGACUCCUACGGGAGGCAGCAGGAGGGAAUCUUCGGCAAUGGACGGAAGUCUGACCGAGCAACGCCGCGUGAGGGAAGAAGGUUUUCGGAUCGUAAAGCUCUGUUGUAAGAGAAGAAAGAGUGUGAGAGUGGAAAGUUCACACUGUGACGGUAUCUUACCAGAAAGGGACGGCUAACUACGUG